UUUGUAACCCACAAAAAAAUGAUAUUAGGUGCAACCAAACACACCCUAAAAGCAUUAAACCAGACAUGCCCCUUUGCAUGAUAGCAGUGUACCAUAAUUAAGAAAGUAUUGUAUUGCAAUCACCUUUCAAAUAGAAUCCGUGUGUCAUGUGAAAAAAUUCAUUUAUUUGAUAAGCGCUUUUAGAUGCCACUUAACUUGAUUGGUGCUCUACCUCUACCUCAUCUCUUGCCCAAAGAAUUUUGGAUUGCAAACCAAAGGCUAUCAUAACCUGCAAUGCUAUUCGCCAAGGUUCCAAAGUCAUCCAUCUGAAAGAUAUUGUUGAUGCAGCAUUGGUUGAAUCAACUAAAAAUGAGGUCUUUGUAGGCAUAUCUAUUUAAUGGCUACUAGGAAGAUAUUGGGACCAUAAAGUCCUUUUUUAAUGCUAACUUGGCUCUCACAUAUUAGCCUUCCAAGUUUUGAUUUUAUGAUCUGCUGAUGCCAAUCUUCACGUCUCCUAGGUUUCUACCACCAACGAAGAUAGAAAAAUGCUAGAUUUUGGACUAAGGGAAUGCAGUGUUGAACAUUCCAUAGUUGGGACACACUCAAGACUGAAGUAUGGGUCUGAACUGAGGGUAAUGCAUGUCUCAUCCAUGACGCACAUCCUUGACAGAGAUGUGUGAAUGGUAUCAUGGUAUGAACUCUUGCUGUUUUUCUUUCUUAGACAUCUAUUUGGUGACCCCCAUGAAAGGAUGAUGACAUCCACCUAUU
This is a long non-coding RNA of Magnolia sinica, 747 nucleotides long. RefSeq lists it as uncharacterized. The transcript has 4 exons. The record is from RefSeq and is a predicted model, not a curated record. NCBI's taxonomy places the organism in Eukaryota, Viridiplantae, Streptophyta, Magnoliopsida, Magnoliales, Magnoliaceae.